CAGCAGCCGCGGUAAUACAGAGGGUGCAAGCGUUAAUCGGAUUUACUGGGCGUAAAGCGUGCGUAGGCGGCUUUUUAAGUCGGAUGUGAAAUCCCUGAGCUUAACUUAGGAAUUGCAUUCGAUACUGGGAAGCUAGAGUAUGGGAGAGGAUGGUAGAAUUGCAGGUGUAGCGGUGAAAUGCGUAGAGAUCUGGAGGAAUACCGAUGGCGAAGGCAGCCAUCUGGCCUAAUACUGACGCUGAGGUACGAAAGCAUGGGGAGCAAACAGGAUUAGAUACCCCUGUAGUCCCUGUCUCUUAUAC
Molecule: ribosomal RNA, 301 nt
Filed under: uncultured bacterium
Lineage: Bacteria
Description: partial 16S ribosomal RNA
Rfam family: Bacterial small subunit ribosomal RNA
Source: RNAcentral